This 425-nucleotide ribosomal RNA is filed under the name uncultured bacterium. RNAcentral describes it as "partial 16S ribosomal RNA". It matches the Rfam family "Bacterial small subunit ribosomal RNA", at positions 354 to 796 of the family's 1533-position model. The record is from RNAcentral.
GUGGGGAAUCUUGCGCAAUGGGCGAAAGCCUGACGCAGCCAUGCCGCGUGAAUGAUGAAGGUCUUAGGAUUGUAAAAUUCUUUCACCGGGGACGAUAAUGACGGUACCCGGAGAAGAAGCUCCGGCUAACUUCGUGCCAGCAGCCGCGGUAAUGCGAAGGGGGCUAGCGUUGCUCGGAAUUACUGGGCGUAAAGGGCGCGUAGGCGGACAGCUUAGUCAGAGGUGAAAGCCCAGGGCUCAACCUUGGAAUUGCCUUUGAUACUGGCUGUCUUGAGUUUGGGAGAGGUGAGUGGAACUCCGAGUGUAGAGGUGAAAUUCGUAGAUAUUCGGAAGAACACCAGUGGCGAAGGCGACUCACUGGCCCAAUACUGACGCUGAGGCGCGAAAGCGUGGGGAGCAAACAGGAUUAGAAACCCCAGUAGUCC